RNAcentral lists this long non-coding RNA (5359 nucleotides) under Callithrix jacchus (white-tufted-ear marmoset). Its description in RNAcentral is "lncRNA (ENSCJAG00000070556.1)". Lineage: Eukaryota; Metazoa; Chordata; Mammalia; Primates; Cebidae. The record is from RNAcentral.
ACUGUGUUCCAACGAAACUUUAUUACCAAAAAUAGGCCACAGACUCCAUUUGAGCCAUAGGUUAUAGUUUGCAAACCUGCUUUAGAGUGAGGCAACCACCUCUCAGUCAUAUUUCAGUUAUCUAAACCUUAAGAGUACAUGUAAGAUUAAAAAGAAGGUUAUUGUGACUUUGUUUGGCGGCCAAACCUGGUCAACCUUAACUUUUAAAAGACUGGAGCGUAGUUCCCUUAGGUCAGUACGUAAAAUCCAUCUCAUGCUAAACAUAACCAAGGUGAUCCGGCAUCUUCAGAGAAGAUCCAGAACUUGUCUGUCGUUCAACACUCAGAAAACAAGAUACAGUAGGAAGCAUUUCAGUAUGAUUGCAAAGACAAAGAAAGAGAAUGUCUUUCCGCUUCUGGUCAACAGUGGGAGCAAUAGUCAACAAUUGCAGGUGACUAUGGGUGACUAUGGCUUCAGCAGAGUCAGCAGAUCUGGGAAUAGCAGGGGGAGGAGUGGCAGAUGACCAUAGGCUAUAGUGGCAUUGACAGCAACCUCAAUAGCAAAUGUAUAUUUCUGGACUCUGGAUAGUGCUUUUUUUUCCCCUUUAGUUCACUCAACGAAAAUCUUUGCAACCAAUUCCAUGUAUUAAAAUAUCACCUCUAUGUGAAAUAUUCAGAAUAUUUCUGUUUUCCUGACUAGACCAUAACUGAUAGACUCACUAAUAUUACAAUUCUUGCUUUUUCUUUGUGAUGAUGUGAUAUAUCUUUAAACUAUAGUAUAAGUACAAAGGAAAAAUUAAAGGUAAGAGAUGAUUACCAACUUUUAUUUGAUGAUUUCUACUAAAAAUAACCCUGAGGUAAAUUAUUACUAUACCCAUUUUAUGGGUGAUACUACAGAUUUGAAUAUAUUUAUUUGACCAAAAUCUCACAGUACAAACUGACUUCCAAAUCAGGUUUUACUUUUUUUAUCUGAGGAAAUUACAUUGCUAUGUUUUAUUCCAUUUUGCAUCACUAUGAAGAAAUAUCUGAGACUGGGUAAUUUAUAAAGCAGAGGCUUGUUUUGGCUCAUGGUUCUGCAACUGAACAAGAAGUAUGGUGCCAGCAUCUGAUUCUGGCAAAGCCUCAGGAAGCUUUUAGUUGUCAUGGGAGGGAAAAGGAGCAAAUGUAUCACAUGGUGAGAGAGGAAGCAAGAGAGAGGCGGUAGUUUCCAGACUGUUUUUAACAACUGUUAUCUUUUGUGAGCUCAUCAUCAUGGGGAGAACACCAAAGCCAUUCAUGAGGGAUCCCCCUUCCAUGACCUAAACACCUUCCAUUAGGCCUCACCUCCAACAAUUGGCCAUCAAAUUUCAACCUGAGAUUUGGAGGGGACAAACAUCCAAACCACAUUACAAUGUCUCAUACAAAUCCUAAGAAGAGGAGAUGGCAUGUGAAUAGCUUGAAAAUUCCUUCAUACUUAAAUUUUUUUUUUGUAAAAAGAGAAGCCUUCUAAUCACCUUGUAAUCUUAGACUUUCGAAAUGUGGUUGGUCUUUGAUUAACAUAGCCCAGAACAUGAACUUCAGCAGAGCUCUCAAAGACAGACAAUUCAGAUGGUAAAUAUGUGAGUUGUUCUAGUACAUUUUAGUCAUUAAUGUUUUUUAAUAGCAUGGUUUCUAUUUUUAUUAUCUGCAUAGUGGAUUGAAAAAAAUCAAACCUUUUCUUAAAAGAUGUUGCUGUUUCCAUUAAAGGACUAAGGGAAAGGAGAAGGGGAGAAUCCUCUUGUACCUAUCACAGUAGCACUACUGUAUGCAACUGAAAUUAGCAAAGUUCCACUUGCUUGUAGGUUUCAGGCAGUAAAGACAAGCCAGUGACCUUGCUUAUGCCAAGUUAGAAAGAUCUUUUCUAACUGAAUAUUCUUUCACCAAGAACUGAAGAAGGAGAUCAGCUUAGGGAAGAUUUACUCCUUGGAACAAUUUUUAGAAAAGUAAAUUCCAGGAAAUUACCAAGCAUAUCCUCUAGUUUCCAGCAUUUAAUGUGACAGAUUUAUCAAUUGCCACCUUGCCUUUUAACUGUAAUGCACAGCCAACAGUGUUUUUAAGUAAAGAUAUCUUACACACAUUUAAAAGAAUAAUGCAUUUUAGAUAUUGCUAUACCUGUACAUGUAUUUGUUUCCCUCCACAGACAGCCAUAUGACCCAGGUGGAAGAGAAAUCAUGAUCUGCUCAGGAAUGCAAGGAUUUUCUUGUGCAUGCCACCUGGUCAUUUCUCUGCUCUUUGACAACCUUCCUUCACAGGACUGGGAAAGCCCAAGUUAAGAUAAGGAAAUAUUAAACACACAAGCACUGCUGUACCCUGAGAAGUACACCAGGUCCCUGGAGUCAUUGCUCCUGGUGCUGAUUAUGAAGAAUCUGGAUCUCCUGCUUCCAAACAAGUACUUCUAGAGAUUGUACUCCACCGGCUACCACUUUAUUUAAGUUUUAAUAUGGUGGAAUAUGUAUUAUUAUUUUACUUACAAGGAAAGGGAAAAUACUCUUUUCUGAGACAAAUAAUAAAGCCCUGAUAAUAUGUUUGCAUUAUAUGUAUCCAAGCAAUAGUCACUAACCACUUGAGAAGAGUAACUUAUUUACGAAAGCCUGCGUUCAAAUAGUUACCAGUACCAAAUUCAUCCUAGCACAUACCCAGACGGUUUUAAUUUGAACAAAAAUAAAUUAGCAAGAAAUUAAGUUUCAAAUUAAAUGACUUAAAAUUCAGUGGCUUUUUACUUAUGAAGUUUCAUUACCCUUUGCAGAAUCAUAGGAUCACCAGUGCUAGAAAUGGGAGAAAUUCUAACAGUAAGUUUUAUGAAGUUGAUAGUAUUAGCAAAAACAAUUUGAAAAAAAGGAGGAAAAGCAAAGACUCUAUUUAGUAAUGGGGCAUUUGCCAGGGUUGUUUUUCUAUCCUUUUAAAUCGAAGUAGAGACAUUGAUGUUCAAUAUACAUCUUGAUCAACACACUUAUCUGACUUUGAUUUUCUUUGUCAUCAAUGUAGUAGUUUAAAUAUCAGCCUUAAUUUGCUAGGUAAAACUCUUGUUUAAACAUAAUGUGCUUAGUUAAUAACCCAUACUUUACAAGACCUUUUCUCAGGUAUGAUUAGCCAGACCUAUGUAAAAUUUGUUUCAUAAAUAGUGGAACAUCCGCAAGAUCCCAUAUUACAAGCAGAAUGGUAGAGCUGGACAGUUUGUGUGCAUUCACUUAUUAUAAUACCUUCACUUUGCAACUAUAAUAACCAAGGCCCAGCAGGAUUAGUUGGCAAUUCAGUACUGCCCAACUUGUAGUAGCAGAGCUCCUUAAAGCCAUAUUUUGAAAUUAGUACAUUAUUCCAUAUUAGUGUUUAUGUGGUUGUUGACUUGCCCAGAGGAAACUCUGUUGGAGAGGCAUGGGAACUCUAGAGGAACAAAUGCCAAAUGCUGAAUGUGUACUGAACACCAAUCGGCAUCAUUCUGCUCCUGGCCACUACAGGUUGCCCAACUGAAAGCACACGUUUAGUGUAUGAAGAUGUAAGAUUGUAAACAAUGUGUCAUAAUGUCCUUCAUAUAAGAACUAGAGAGAAGCUCUGAGUAUGGAAAACAUUUUUCUAACUCAAAAUGAAGACACACAUUGUGAAGGAUGUGAAUAUAUUUAAGGUAUAAUAUGACCAUACAUGAGAUUCAGAACUUUCCUCUACAAUUGAGGACACAGAAAUUGCUUUACUAUGGAAAUAGUCUGUCCAGGUGCAGUGGUUCAUGCCUGUAAUCUCAGCACUUUGGGAGGCUAAGGUGAGUGAAUCACCUGAGGUCAGGAGAUUGAGAACAUACUGGCCAACAUGGUGAAACCCCGUCUCUACUAAAAAUACAAAAAUUAGCUGGGCAUGGUGGCAUGUGCCUGUAAUCCCAGCUAUUCAGGAGGCUGAGGCAGGAGAAUUGCUUGAACCCAGGAGGCGGAGGUUGCAGUGAGCCGAGAUUGCGCCACUGCACUCCAGCCUGGUGCCUAGUGACAGAGCAAGACUCCGUCUCAAGAAAAAAAAAAAAUACAAAAAUUAGCUGGGCAUGGUGGCAGAUGCCUGUAAUCUCAGCUACUCGGGAGACUGGGGCAGAAGAACUGCUGGAACCCCGGGAGGCAGAGGUUGCAGUGAGCCGAGAUCACACCAUUGCACUCCAGCCCAGGUGACAAAAGUGAGACUCCAUCUCAAAAAAAAAAAAAAAAAAAAAGAAAAGAAAAGAAAGAAAGUAAAAAAUAGUUUUUUGUUACAAUGGAAUCUUGCCUGAAGAAUUCAGAAAAAAAAAUGCUGUUAAGAAUGAAAAUCAGAGGAUGUGAAUCCUCUUAACUGUUUCAUUCCCAGGAACCAGCAGUUCUUUACACUGAGGAAACUCGCUUGUUACUAUUGAUCCCAGGGUGUAGAAUUUAGGAGGAGGUGAUUAAGAGGGGACUCCACACUAGAAUAAAAAAAUUGAGGUAUUUACUUUGAGAGCAAAAUUGAAAGGGCAUCAAAAUUUCAGAAAUUAAGCUAUAGAAUAUUUUGAUCUAAUAUUUUCAAAAAUAAAAGUUAACAAAAAAAUUGAUGUUAAAAAAAAUCAGUGUUUUGGAUGAAGACAAGAUCUGACUCUGCACCUGCAUGAAUUCAUCUCAUUCGUGUCACCAAAAUUCUGGCCUUGCCAUACCUUGUUUUUACUGUUUUUAUGUGUAAUUUUGAUAUUCUGUUGAUCAUGAAUUCUUUUGCAUAUUUUUUCUUUGAAACAGAGUCUUACUCUGUCUCCAAGGCUAUAUAGUACAGUGGUGCAAUCUUGGCUCACUGCAACCUCCACCUCACCAGGUACGAGCGAUUCUCCUGCCUUAGCCUUCUGAGUAGCUGGGAUUACAGGCACACACCACCAUGCCUGGCUAAUUUUUGUAUUUUCGUAGAAAUGAGGUUUCCCCAUGUUGGCUAGGCUGGUCUCGAACUCAGGACCUCAGGUGAUCCGCCUGCCUUGACCUCCCAAAGUACUGGAAUUAUAAGCAUGGGCCACUGUGCCCAGCCACGUUAUUUUUUUAAUAUUGCAUUGAAAUAUUAUUUAUCUUGAUUACCGAGGUUUUUGGUGUCCCUUUCAACUUUGCACUGUGGUAAAUGUCUUACACUACUCACCUUAGUCCUGGUCUUAACUAGCAUGCUGCCUGACACGUAAGUAAAGGAAGUUGUUAAAAGAAUUAUUGUGUGGUGAAUAAAUUAAUGAAUCACUGUAAGAGUAUCUUGUUUCUUUUUAUAAUGGCCUCUCUACAAAUUUCUCAUUGGAAGGGAUAGAAAUACAUGAUAUGUUCCAGACUUCUUAUGUUGACAGGUCCAUCUUUCUCUGUGUUUUAAAAUAAUAUAAUAUAUGUUAUGAAAUUUAAUUUUUUAUUGCUUAAAUUAUCCCA